CCUACGGGAGGCAGCAGUGAGGAAUAUUGGUCAAUGGGCGAGAGCCUGAACCAGCCAAGUCGCGUGAAGGAUGACGGCCCUACGGGUUGUAAACUUCUUUUGUCAGGGAGCAAUUGGGUCCACGCGUGGGCUUAGCGAGAGUACCUGAAGAAAAAGCAUCGGCUAACUCCGUGCCAGCAGCCGCGGUAAUACGGAGGAUGCGAGCGUUAUCCGGAUUUUUUGGGUUUAAAGGGUGCGUAGGCGGAAUAUCAAGUCAGCGGUAAAAAUUCGGGGCUAAACCCCGUCGUGCCGUUGAAACUGAUGUUCUUGAGUGGGAGAGAAGUAUGCGGAAUGCGUGGUGUAGCGGUGAAAGGCAUAGAUAUCACGCAGAACUCCGAUUGCGAAGGCAGCAUACCGGCGCCCAACUGACGCUGAAGCACGAAAGCGUGGGUAUCGAACAGGAUUAGAUACCCCAGUAGUA
Molecule: ribosomal RNA, 460 nt
Filed under: uncultured bacterium
Lineage: Bacteria
Description: partial 16S ribosomal RNA
Rfam family: Bacterial small subunit ribosomal RNA
Source: RNAcentral